GUGAGUCAUCGAAUCUUUGAACGCAUAUUGCGCCCCUUGGUAUUCCGGGGGGCACACCUGUUCGAGCGCCAUUUAGACCCUCAAGCAUAGCUUGUUGUUGGGCAAGGUCCCUUGGGGGACCAGCCCGUAACUUGUAGGCGGUCACCGACCUAAUCCCCAGCGUAGCAAGCUAACGCAUUCGCUCGGGAAAAAGGCGAGUUUGAUCAGUCACCAAAUCAACUUUUUUUUUCAAGGUUUGGCCUCGGAUCAGGUGGGGAUACCCGCUGAACUUAAGCAUAUCAAUAAGCGGAGGA
RNAcentral lists this unclassified non-coding RNA (293 nucleotides) under Pezizomycetes sp. RNAcentral's name for it is "partial contains 5.8S ribosomal RNA, internal transcribed spacer 2, and large subunit ribosomal RNA". The stretch from base 1 to 71 matches the Rfam family "5.8S ribosomal RNA", at positions 84 to 154 of the family's 154-position model. Lineage: Eukaryota; Fungi; Ascomycota; Pezizomycetes. The record is from RNAcentral.